Non-coding RNA from Pogona vitticeps (central bearded dragon), 700 nucleotides. Lineage: Eukaryota; Metazoa; Chordata; Lepidosauria; Squamata; Agamidae. The record is from RefSeq and is a predicted model, not a curated record.
UUUGCCUAUUGAAGCUCUCAUCCAGUGACACUUAGUGGUCCCUGAUGGUCUUUAAGAAAAAAAGAGGCAAUCAUUACCCUCUCCAAUGCCUUCAAGUAUGCUACUGAUUGUUCCCACUGGAGCCUGAGAAACCACAACAGAAUCUCUUUCAAGUGUGAGAAUGCUAUUAUGUGUAGAAUGCUGAUUACCUUCAAAUCACAAAUUCAAGCAGGAGGAUUCUGCUCCUUGUUGUGGACUUGCAAAAAGUAACUUUUAAACUUAUAACUCUCUGCAUCGCCCAACUAGAAUGGUCAGUGGCUAGCCAUGUUAGGUGUUUCUAGGAGUUGGUCCAAAAAGUAGCUUUUCCCAGCUCUAUCCUGUUCUGUAUGCUGUCGUUCAUUACCCUCCUCUCCUACUGUGCAUGGCAUUCAUAGAUACUGGUAGGGAGCAACCAGGGAUGCAGCAGUGCGACUACUAGUGAUAUUUCUAUUCUUGGGCCAAGUAUCAGGUCAUAACACCAAGUGAAGAGCAUCCUCUGUGUUCUGUGCAGCUAUAGUACCAGGAUCAUAAGCAUGAUUCUGUAAGCCAACCAACACAAAACUGAGCCAUUCAACAGGAAUGUUACUUUAUGCAAAGUAAUCAGGUUUUUUUCCAAUUUAAAGUGCAAUAUACUAAUACAACUCUUGCAAAGAGAAAAACCAUGCAGCAUAUCAUUCUUUAA